RNAcentral lists this ribosomal RNA (875 nucleotides) under Enterococcus faecalis PF3. RNAcentral's name for it is "bacterial LSU rRNA". It matches the Rfam family "Bacterial large subunit ribosomal RNA", at positions 1950 to 2824 of the family's 2925-position model. The record is from RNAcentral. Lineage: Bacteria; Bacillati; Bacillota; Bacilli; Lactobacillales; Enterococcaceae.
CCUAAGGUAGCGAAAUUCCUUGUCGGGUAAGUUCCGACCUGCACGAAUGGCGUAAUGAUGGCCAGGCUGUCUCCACCCGAGACUCAGUGAAAUUGAACUCGCUGUGAAGAUGCAGUGUACCCGCGGCAAGACGGAAAGACCCCGUGAACCUUUACUAUAGCUUGACACUGAACACUGGUCCUUGAUGUGUAGGAUAGGUGGGAGGCUUUGAGUGUGGACGCCAGUCUGCAUGGAGCCAUCCUUGAAAUACCACCCUUUAAUGGCUGGUGUUCUAACGUGGACCCGUUACCCGGGUUGCGGACAGUGUCUGGUGGGUAGUUUGACUGGGGCGGUCUCCUCCUAAAGAGUAACGGAGGAGCACGAAGGUUAGCUAAUCCUGGUCGGACAUCAGGAGGUUAGUGCAAAGGCAUAAGCUAGCUUGACUGCGAGAGUGACGGCUCGAGCAGGUGCGAAAGCAGGUCUUAGUGAUCCGGUGGUUCUGAAUGGAAGGGCCAUCGCUCAACGGAUAAAAGGUACUCCGGGGAUAACAGGCUGAUACCGCCCAAGAGUUCAUAUCGACGGCGGUGUUUGGCACCUCGAUGUCGGCUCAUCACAUCCUGGGGCUGAAGUAGGUCCCAAGGGUAUGGCUGUUCGCCAUUUAAAGUGGUACGCGAGCUGGGUUUAGAACGUCGUGAGACAGUUCGGUCCCUAUCUGCCGUGGGCGCUGGAGAAUUGAGGGGGGCUGCUCCUAGUACGAGAGGACCGGAGUGGACGCAUCACUGGUGUUCGGGUUGUCAUGCCAAUGGCAUUGCCCGGUAGCUAAAUGCGGAAGAGAUAAGUGCUGAAAGCAUCUAAGCACGAAACUUGCCCCGAGAUGAGUUCUCCCUGAGACUUUA